RNAcentral lists this ribosomal RNA (291 nucleotides) under uncultured Streptococcus sp. RNAcentral's name for it is "partial 16S ribosomal RNA". It matches the Rfam family "Bacterial small subunit ribosomal RNA", at positions 1093 to 1382 of the family's 1533-position model. The record is from RNAcentral. Lineage: Bacteria; Bacillati; Bacillota; Bacilli; Lactobacillales; Streptococcaceae.
CGAGCGCAACCCCUCGUCGUAUGUUGCCAGCAUUAAGUUGGGGACGUCAUACGAGACUGCCGGCGUCAAGCCGGAGGAAGGUGGGGACGACGUCAAGUCAUCAUGCCCCUUACUGUCCUGGGCUGCACACGUGCUACAAUGGUUGGUACAACGAGUUGCGAGUCGGUGACGGCGAGCUAAUCUCUUAAAGCCAAUCUCAGUUCGGAUUGUAGGCUGCAACUCGCCUACAUGAAGUCGGAAUCGCUAGUAAUCGCGGAUCAGCACGCCGCGGUGAAUACGUUCCCGGGCCUU